This 1056-nucleotide long non-coding RNA is filed under the name Anser cygnoides (Swan goose). RNAcentral describes it as "lncRNA (ENSACDG00005005293.1)". Lineage: Eukaryota; Metazoa; Chordata; Aves; Anseriformes; Anatidae. The record is from RNAcentral.
AUGGAGGAAUCCAGCUCCUGGCCACAACAGGAGGCUGCCGGCAGCAUGGCCGUGGUGUCAUGGCAUGUCGGCACAAGCACUGAUUUUGGGGGACCCCCCUGUAUUGUGUUUGUUCAUCCCAUCGCUGUGCACGGCCACCUGGGUGACCUGGGGAGCCGGACAGCCCAACCCUGUCCUCCGGCAAGCCUGGGAAGUUCGUCCCUGGUGCACCAAAACCGGACCUUGCAGAGGGAUGUGGCAACGCGGCCGAGCUGCUGGGGCUGCCCGCACGUCUCCAGCUGUCAGCGGAGCCAUGGAGAGGGCACGUGGCUCGCGGGCGAUGCGGUCGGAGCUGUGCCCCUUCCUCCUGCUGACUCGGCCCCCGUCCUGCUCGCCCACGAGCCGGGGGAGCAGCCGGGCUGUGCUGUUCCGGGCAGCGCUGAGAUGCUGCGGCCGGCGUUGCGCAAGGGGAAGGGAUGCUGCCGAAAUCCGCCGCGCCCGCCAGGGUGGAGGGGGGGAAGAGGAGAGAAAAAAAGAGGAGAGAAAUGUCCCCACGGCCUGGCUCGGAGCACAAAGCCCUGGGCUGUGUUUACCAAGAGAGGACCGAGUGCUGUUAAUGAGCACAGAGGCUCUCAGGGGGCCGGCGGGGCCAAGACCUCGCUGCCCAUCGCUCCUGGUGUGUGCUGGGGUGAGCUCAGCUCGCAGCGCUCUGCUGCCAGCCCCGAGGCCCAUUCGGUCCCAUCCUGCCUGGUGCUAGCUGAUAAGGAGCUGCGGAGGGCGAGGGACAGCUGGCGGGGCCGGCACCGGACCCAGCUCACAGACGGACGGACAGAGGCGUGCAGAUGGACAGACAGACAGGCGCCUGCUGGAGGCUGGUGGAGACCGGAGCCGUCCCGGAGCAGCGCAGCCUCCCCGGCGGGGUCAGGGCUCACCAGCUCAGUCCCUGCGGGCAGAAAACCAAGGAGACAGCACCAAAACCAGCGUGGGAGCUCGCUCUGCUCCCCGGGGCUGCGACAGGCACGGGGCUGGGGCUGCCGAGCCCUGCUAGCCAUCGGGGAGGCCCCGGCGUGGCCGUGA